GAUUUCUGGUAUGGCGCACUUGGCCCGUCUCGGUUACGAGUAUGUGUGCCGGUGUGCGCCUGCCAUCCAUCUAGAGACGGCUUGUUCACCCUUCACUGGGUCGGACUUGUUUGGAUCUAGAUCUUUUACUUUGAAAAAAUUAGAGUGUUUAAAGCAGGCUUGUGCGUGAUGAAUACAUUAGCAUGGAAUAAUGAUUUAGGACUUUGGUCUUAUUUUGUUGGUUUCUAGGACUGAAGUAAUGAUUGAUAGGGACAGUUGGGGGUGCUAGUAUUCAGCGGCCAGAGGUGAAAUUCUUGGAUUCGCUGAAGACUAACUUAUGCGAAAGCAUU
This 329-nucleotide ribosomal RNA is filed under the name uncultured Sandonidae. RNAcentral's name for it is "bacterial SSU rRNA". The stretch from base 63 to 329 matches the Rfam family "Eukaryotic small subunit ribosomal RNA", at positions 689 to 955 of the family's 1831-position model. Lineage: Eukaryota; Cercozoa; Glissomonadida; Viridiraptoridae. The record is from RNAcentral.